UCGAGAAUAUUCGACAAUGGGCGAAAGCCUGAUCGAGCGACGCCGCGUGCAGGAUGAAGGCCCUCGGGUUGUAAACUGCGGUAGUAGGGGAGGAACGCAAGUGACUGUACCCUACGGAAAGUGGUUGGUAACUACGUGCCAGCACCAGCGGUAAUACGUAGACCACAAGCGUUAUCCGGAUUUAUUGGGCGUAAAGCGUACGUAGGCGGUUCGGUAAGUCCCAUGUGAAAUCCCACGGCUCAACCGUGGAAGGUCAUGGGAAACUGCCAGGCUAGAGUGUGAAAGGGGAGAGUGGAAUUCCCAGUGUAGUGGUGAAAUACGUAGAUAUUGGGAGGAACACCGGUGGCGAAAGCGACUCUCUGGUUCAUAACUGACGCUGAGGUACGAAAGCGUGGGGAGCAAACAGGAUUAGAUACCCCGGUAGUCCCUGAGCGGGCUGGCAAGGCGCAU
This 450-nucleotide ribosomal RNA is filed under the name uncultured bacterium. Its description in RNAcentral is "bacterial SSU rRNA". It matches the Rfam family "Bacterial small subunit ribosomal RNA", at positions 355 to 825 of the family's 1533-position model. The record is from RNAcentral.